Molecule: ribosomal RNA, 460 nt
Filed under: uncultured bacterium
Lineage: Bacteria
Description: partial 16S ribosomal RNA
Rfam family: Bacterial small subunit ribosomal RNA
Source: RNAcentral
CCUACGGGUGGCAGCAGUGAGGAAUAUUGGUCAAUGGGCGCGAGCCUGAACCAGCCAAGUCGCGUGAGGGAGGACGGCCCUACGGGUUGUAAACCGCUUUUGCCGGGGAGCAACGGGCGCCACGUGUGGCGUCACGCAGAGUACCCGGAGAAAAAGCAUCGGCUAUCUCCGUGCCAGCAGCCGCGGUAAUACGGAGGAUGCGAGGGUGAUCCGGUUUCAUUGGGUUUAAGGGGUGCGUGGGCGGAUCUUUAAGGCAGUGGUCAAAUUGAGGGGCUCAACCCCUUCCCGCCAUUGAAACUGGCGUUCUUGAGUGGACGAGAAGUAUGCGGAAUGCGUGGUGUAGCGGUGAAAUGCAUAGAUAUCACGCAGAACCCCGAUUGCGAAGGCAGCCUGCCGGCUUCCGACUGACGCUGAAGCACGAAAGCGUGGGGAUCGAACAGGAUUAGAUACCCCGGUAGUC